RNAcentral lists this ribosomal RNA (2879 nucleotides) under Xanthomonas oryzae X8-1A. RNAcentral's name for it is "bacterial LSU rRNA". It matches the Rfam family "Bacterial large subunit ribosomal RNA". The record is from RNAcentral. Lineage: Bacteria; Pseudomonadati; Pseudomonadota; Gammaproteobacteria; Lysobacterales; Lysobacteraceae.
UCAAGCGAAUAAGCGCACACGGUGGAUGCCUAGGCGGUCAGAGGCGAUGAAGGACGUGGUAGCCUGCGAAAAGUGUCGGGGAGCUGGCAACAAGCUUUGAUCCGGCAAUAUCCGAAUGGGGAAACCCACUGCUUCGGCAGUAUCCUGCAGUGAAUUCAUAGCUGCUGGAAGCGAACCCGGUGAACUGAAAUAUCUAAGUAACCGGAGGAAAAGAAAUCAACCGAGAUUCCCUAAGUAGUGACGAGCGAACGGGGAGCAGCCCUUAAGCUGGAAUGGCUUUAGAAAAACAAUCUGGAAAGAUUGGCCAUAGAAGGUGAUAGCCCUGUAUUUAAAAGGGCCACUCCAGUGAAGACGAGUAGGGCGGGGCACGUGAAACCCUGUCUGAAUAUGGGGGGACCAUCCUCCAAGGCUAAAUACUCCUGACCGACCGAUAGUGAACCAGUACCGUGAGGGAAAGGCGAAAAGAACCCCGGAGAGGGGAGUGAAAUAGAUCCUGAAACCGUGUGCGUACAAGCAGUAGGAGCUCGCAAGAGUGACUGCGUACCUUUUGUAUAAUGGGUCAGCGACUUACUGUUCGUGGCAAGCUUAACCGUAUAGGGGAGGCGAAGGGAAACCGAGUCUGAUAAGGGCGCAUAGUCGCGGGCAGUAGACCCGAAACCGGGUGAUCUAGUCAUGGCCAGGGUGAAGGUGCCGUAACAGGUACUGGAGGCCCGAACCCACGUCUGUUGCAAAAGACGGGGAUGAGCUGUGAUUAGGAGUGAAAAGCUAAUCGAACCCGGAGAUAGCUGGUUCUCCUCGAAAGCUAUUUAGGUAGCGCCUCGGACGAAUACUACUGGGGGUAGAGCACUGUUAUGGCUAGGGGGUCAUCGCGACUUACCAAACCAUUGCAAACUCCGAAUACCAGUACGUACUAUCCGGGAGACACACGGCGGGUGCUAACGUCCGUCGUGAAAAGGGAAACAACCCAGACCCACAGCUAAGGUCCCAAAUUCACUGCUAAGUGGAAAACGAUGUGGAAAGGCAUAGACAGCCAGGAGGUUGGCUUAGAAGCAGCCACCCUUUAAAGAAAGCGUAAUAGCUCACUGGUCGAGUCGGUCUGCGCGGAAGAUUUAACGGGGCUAAGCAGUGAACCGAAGCUUGGGGUGCAUAAAACGUGUUUUAUGCGCGGUAGAGGAGCGUUCCGUAAGCCUGCGAAGGUGGAUUGAGAAGUCUGCUGGAGGUAUCGGAAGUGCGAAUGCUGACAUGAGUAACGAUAAUGCGGGUGAAAAGCCCGCACGCCGAAAGCCCAAGGUUUCCUUGCGCAACGUUAAUCGACGCAGGGUUAGUCGGUCCCUAAGGCGAGGGCGAAAGCCGUAGUCGAUGGGAAGCAGGUUAAUAUUCCUGCACCUCGCGUGAGUGCGAUGGAGGGACGGAGAAGGUUAGGUGUACCGGGCGUUGGUUGUCCCGGGGAAAGGCGGUAGGUUUGGAUCUUUGGCAAAUCCGGGAUCCUUUAAGACCGAGCACCGAGACGAGCCUUUAUGGCGAAGUCACUGAUACCACGCUUCCAGGAAAAGCUCCUAAGCUUCAGCUCACGAAGACCGUACCGUAAACCGACACAGGUGGGUAGGAUGAGAAUUCUCAGGCGCUUGAGAGAACUCGGGUGAAGGAACUAGGCAACAUGGCACCGUAACUUCGGGAGAAGGUGCACCCUUUUUGGUGGCUCAUGCGAGCUAUAGCUGAAGAGGGUCGCAGAAACCAGGCCGCUGCGACUGUUUAUCAAAAACACAGCACUCUGCAAACACGAAAGUGGACGUAUAGGGUGUGACGCCUGCCCGGUGCUGGAAGGUUAAUUGAUGGGGUCAGCCGCAAGGCGAAGCUCUUGAUCGAAGCCCCAGUAAACGGCGGCCGUAACUAUAACGGUCCUAAGGUAGCGAAAUUCCUUGUCGGGUAAGUUCCGACCUGCACGAAUGGCGUAACGACAGCGGCGCUGUCUCCACCCGAGACUCAGUGAAAUUGAAAUCGCUGUGAAGAUGCAGCGUUCCCGUGGCAAGACGGAAAGACCCCGUGAACCUUUACUAUAGCUUUACACUGAACGUUGAGUUCGUCUGUGUAGGAUAGGUGGGAGGCUAUGAAACUGUGGCGCUAGCUGCAGUGGAGCCAUCCUUGAAAUACCACCCUGUCGUGCUUGACGUUCUAACCUAGGUCCGUUAUCCGGAUCAGGGACCGUGUAUGGUGGGUAGUUUGACUGGGGCGGUCUCCUCCUAAAGAGUAACGGAGGAGCACGAAGGUACGCUCAGCGCGGUCGGACAUCGCGCACUGUGUGCAAAGGCAUAAGCGUGCUUGACUGCAAGAUCGACGGAUCAAGCAGGUACGAAAGUAGGUCUUAGUGAUCCGGUGGUUCUGUAUGGAAGGGCCAUCGCUCAACGGAUAAAAGGUACUCCGGGGAUAACAGGCUGAUACCGCCCAAGAGUUCAUAUCGACGGCGGUGUUUGGCACCUCGAUGUCGGCUCAUCACAUCCUGGGGCUGUAGUCGGUCCCAAGGGUAUGGCUGUUCGCCAUUUAAAGUGGUACGCGAGCUGGGUUCAGAACGUCGUGAGACAGUUCGGUCCCUAUCUGCCAUGGGCGUUGGAAGUUUGAGAGGGGCUGCUCCUAGUACGAGAGGACCGGAGUGGACGAACCUCUGGUGUUCCGGUUGUCACGCCAGUGGCAUUGCCGGGUAGCUAUGUUCGGAAGCGAUAACCGCUGAAAGCAUCUAAGCGGGAAGCGCGCCUCAAGAUGAGACUUCCCGGGGCACAAGCCCCCUAAAGGAACCAUGUAGACUACGUGGUUGAUAGGUCAGGUGUGUAAGUACAGCAAUGUAUUGAGCUAACUGAUACUAAUGAUCCGUGCGGCUUGACCAU